UUACCCAAUUACAAAGCCGCUGAAAACAACAACAGAGGUUACGCCAAUGAACUAAGGCUUCUGAAGAACAUGAAGCUACAGUGAGAACAAAUUUGCAGUCAUGCUCGAUAACAUCACAAGUUCUCCGUUAUAAUUUCAAAUGCAAAAGCAUAAAUUGUGAAUUCAUACCUAAGUUUUCGAAUCAAGCAAAAUGUAUGACUAUUAUUGUCCAUCUGUAUCCUUUUAACUUCAAUCUUAGUGUGUAAUGUUUCUCAAACGCUUAAUAUGUAGACAUAAUUUCUACUUCACUUCUAUCUUAGUGUAAUUUGUUCCUUCAUCUAUGCGCAUUGUUCAAGAGAACAGACUAUCUGCGGAAGGUAAUUGUACAGGAUAGGCCAACUAAAUACACAAGAGUCGGAGAUAUUAUGCCCGAACAGAGCAAAGCUGAUAACCGUUUCAUUCGACACAAACAUUCUUAAAGCAAUGCAGCUCAUGAGUGAGCAUCACAUACGACAUGUUCCAGUGAUCGAUGGGAAGGUGGUAGGCAUGAUUUCUGUUGCGGAUAUUGUAAAAGCGGUGGUUGAUCAACAAACUGGAGAAGUAAAGCAACGGAAUCAGUUCAUCCGAGGAGAUUACUAUUGAAAACAAUAUUUAGCAACCUCGAAACUUUGUUUGUUGAUAUACAUGAAAAGCUAUUACCAAAACAAUACUGUCAUUUUCUCAGGAUAUUUCUCUAUAUAUCUGCUAAGUCACUUUCUUCUGCCAACAAGAAAUUGAUUUGGCAAAUCAUGACUUGCUGAAUUAAGUGUAUCAAAUUGUAAACAGUGGACAUAAGUACUCAAAUUUUAUAUCAUUGUGUAUCUUAUUAAACUAAUUUUUUAAAUGAUACUUGGGAAAUUUUACUAGUAA
RNA transcript from Capsicum annuum, 888 nucleotides. RefSeq lists it as uncharacterized. The record is from RefSeq and is a predicted model, not a curated record. Lineage: Eukaryota; Viridiplantae; Streptophyta; Magnoliopsida; Solanales; Solanaceae. The transcript has 4 exons.